This 380-nucleotide unclassified non-coding RNA is filed under the name uncultured Alphaproteobacteria bacterium. RNAcentral's name for it is "contains 16S-23S intergenic spacer region". The record is from RNAcentral. Lineage: Bacteria; Pseudomonadati; Pseudomonadota; Alphaproteobacteria.
UCGCGGCUUAUCACCGGCAGUCCCCCUAGAGUGCCCAACCGAAUGCUGGCAACUAGGGGCGAGGGUUGCGCUCGUUGCGGGACUUAACCCAACAUCUCACGACACGAGCUGACGACAGCCAUGCAGCACCUGUGCGCAGGUCUCUUGCGAGAAGGAAUCCGUCUCCGGAAGCCGUCCUGCCAUGUCAAGGGCUGGUAAGGUUCUGCGCGUUGCUUCGAAUUAAAGAACAUGCUCCACCGCUUGUGCAGGCCCCCGUCAAUUCCUUUGAGUUUCAGCCUUGCGGCCGUACUCCCCAGGCGGGGCACUUAUCGCGUUAGCUGCGAGACGGAGAGGGCCGAUCCCCCCCGCCUCUAGUGCCCAUCGUUUACGGCGUGGACUAC